RNAcentral lists this long non-coding RNA (1144 nucleotides) under Nicotiana benthamiana. Its description in RNAcentral is "long non-coding RNA (NBEN_LNC015315)". The record is from RNAcentral. Lineage: Eukaryota; Viridiplantae; Streptophyta; Magnoliopsida; Solanales; Solanaceae.
AGGCUCUGCAGCAAACUUGAUAGUAUGUGAACAAGCUCGUCGCGCUCAACCCUUUGGCUACAAUCUCUCUUUCUGGAGUCAUGAAAUCUGUAUUUUAGUAUAUGCUUUUGACAUGGUGAUACUAAAAUUAAAGAAGACUAUUAUGUAUCAAAUGUAUACUUUUUAUUCAGUUAUUAGUCAGGAUAUUAGUGGGAAAAAAUCAUAGUUAUAUGAUUUUUAUGUGAGAAAACAAAGUUAUAUAACUUUGAUGGAAAAAAAUCAUAGUUAUAUGGCCAUUUGUAAAAUUUACCCAAAAAACUCCACUGAGUUAAGAUUGUUCAAAUCAUUUGAUUAGCUAGUGGUAGGGAAAUGAAAUACUUGCUUAAGUUCCGUGAUUAGACGAGAUUAAGUAAAAUAACUGUUAUAGGAGUCACAAAUUAAAAUUAAAAUGCAUAUAACUCAACCACAGUGAAGCAGAAAAAAGUUUAUAUGCAAGAUGUAACUUUGCAUUAAUUUAUAUGGUAUAAACAACAAGUGCGAUUAUGUUUUUUUAAUAGCGUCUUGUGCCAGGGGUGAAGCUACAUUGUUCUAAGGGCAAUCACUUGAUCACCCUUUGUUGAAUAAACACUAGGGGUCGUUUGAUAUAAGGUAUAAGAAGAUAUAGUGCUGGCAUAAAAAUUUAAUACCAUCUUAAUACUUCGUUUGGUUAGCAAACCAAAUAUAAAUUAUCUCAGGAUUAAAAUUAACACCGGGACCUUAUAGAGGGCGGGGUAAUUAGCAUCAGUAUAAUUUAUACAUUCUUCUUACAAAUUAUGCAAUUCUCAUAUUUAAUACAACAUACCAAAUAAUGGAUAAAAAACAAUCUCAGCAUAACUAAUACAAGCAUAACUUAUCUUAGUAUAAUUUAUACCAGUAUAACUUAUCCCAUCAUAUUCAAACCAAACAAUCCCUAUGUAUAUAGACAAAAUAUUACAUAAAUUUUAAAGGAUAUAUAACAUAUAUUGAAUACCUCUUUUUGAUGAAAAUUUUUUUCACUUCUUUUAAGUUUAAACAAUCUCGAAGAAAUUCGCAUGGCUUCGUCCUGCGCUGCGCUGGCCUUGUUCUUCCUUCAGUAGAAGUUUAAUUAUUCACCCGACUCAGCUGAGCUUAAUGUAAAAGACUUCUC